Molecule: ribosomal RNA, 468 nt
Filed under: uncultured bacterium
Lineage: Bacteria
Description: bacterial SSU rRNA
Rfam family: Bacterial small subunit ribosomal RNA
Source: RNAcentral
GUCCAGACUCCUACGGGAGGCAGCAGUGAGGAAUAUUGGUCAAUGGUCGGGAGACUGAACCAGCCAAGCCGCGUGAGGGAGGAAGGUACAGAGUAUCGUAAACCUCUUUUGUCAGGGAACAAAGGCGGGGACGUGUCCCCGGAUGAGUGUACCUGAAGAAAAAGCAUCGGCUAACUACGUGCCAGCAGCCGCGGUAAUACGUAGGGGGCAAGCGUUAUCCGGAUUUACUGGGUGUAAAGGGAGCGUAGACGGCGCUGCAAGUCCGGAGUGAAAGCCCAUGGCUUAACCAUGGUACUGCUCUGGAAACUGUGGAGCUUGAGUGCGGGAGGGGCAGGCGGAAUUCCUAGUGUAGCGGUGAAAUGCGUAGAUAUUAGGAGGAACACCGGCGGCGAAGGCGGCCUGCUGGACCGUAACUGACGUUGAGGCUCGAAAGCGUGGGGAGCAAACAGGAUUAGAUACCCCAGUAAU